UCAGUUCGGAUUGUAGUCUGCAACUCGACUACAUGAAGCUGGAAUCGCUAGUAAUCGCGAAUCAGAAUGUCGCGGUGAAUACGUUCCCGGGUCUUGUACACACCGCCCGUCACACCAUGGGAGUCGGGAAUGCCCGAAGUCAGUGACCCAACCGGAAGGAGGGAGCUGCCGAAGGCAGGCUCGAUAACUGGGGUGAAGUCGUAACAAGGUAAC
This 213-nucleotide ribosomal RNA is filed under the name uncultured bacterium. RNAcentral describes it as "partial 16S ribosomal RNA". It matches the Rfam family "Bacterial small subunit ribosomal RNA", at positions 1288 to 1500 of the family's 1533-position model. The record is from RNAcentral.